UUGUCUUUGGUCAGAAGAAGGAUUUGAACUCAGGUGCUACGAUCAGUUGUGCCUAUGAAAGAGGACAUCAAGUGCUGUCAGCAUCCUAUACAUUUUGGUACC
RNAcentral lists this long non-coding RNA (102 nucleotides) under Monodelphis domestica (gray short-tailed opossum). RNAcentral's name for it is "lncRNA (ENSMODG00000047264.1)". The record is from RNAcentral. Lineage: Eukaryota; Metazoa; Chordata; Mammalia; Didelphimorphia; Didelphidae.